UAGGGAAUCUUCGGCAAUGGACGGAAGUCUGACCGAGCAACGCCGCGUGAGUGAAGAAGGUUUUCGGAUCGUAAAGCUCUGUUGUAAGAGAAGAACGAGUGUGAGAGUGGAAAGUUCACACUGUGACGGUAUCUUACCAGAAAGGGACGGCUAACUACGUGCCAGCAGCCGCGGUAAUACGUAGGUCCCGAGCGUUGUCCGGAUUUAUUGGGCGUAAAGCGAGCGCAGGCGGUUAGAUAAGUCUGAAGUUAAAGGCUGUGGCUUAACCAUAGUACGCUUUGGAAACUGUUUAACUUGAGUGCAAGAGGGGAGAGUGGAAUUCCAUGUGUAGCGGUGAAAUGCGUAGAUAUAUGGAGGAACACCGGUGGCGAAAGCGGCUCUCUGGCUUGUAACUGACGCUGAGGCUCGAAAGCGUGGGGAGCAAACAGGAUUAGAUACCCUGGUAGUCCNUNNUCGUAAACGAUGAGUGCUAGGUGUUAGACCCUUUCCGGGGUUUAGUGCCGCAGCUAACGCAUUAAGCACUCCGCCUGGGGAGUACGAACGCAAGGUUG
This 551-nucleotide ribosomal RNA is filed under the name uncultured bacterium. Its description in RNAcentral is "bacterial SSU rRNA". It matches the Rfam family "Bacterial small subunit ribosomal RNA", at positions 355 to 896 of the family's 1533-position model. The record is from RNAcentral.